RNAcentral lists this long non-coding RNA (1350 nucleotides) under Eutrema salsugineum. Its description in RNAcentral is "long non-coding RNA (ESAL_LNC000125)". Lineage: Eukaryota; Viridiplantae; Streptophyta; Magnoliopsida; Brassicales; Brassicaceae. The record is from RNAcentral.
CAUCUUCCUCUUCACCCAAAAAAAAGAAGAAGCAAAAGUGAAAAACAAAAAUGUCAAUUAUAUGAUAUGAGAAUUCAUUUGAGAUUUUGAUUAUAUGAAAUAAGAGAUCUCAUAUCCGAUAAAGAUUCACAAAGGGUAUGUCUUUUUGAAAUAAAAUUUUAAGAUUCUUAUUUUCAUUUGAUUAAUAAAGCUUUCAAAUAUAUGAAUAAUGUUUGGUGUUCGCAUGUUAUCACAUCUUUGAUCAUCUCUCUUUUUCAUGUUCUUUUGUAUUCUUCUUUAUUUUUAUUGUUAUCUGUUUUAGCUUAGAUACAUUAGAUCUAAAUAUAAAAAAGUUUGAUAAAAUAAAAUAUUAUUUAAACUUCAUAUGAAUCCUUUUACAGAAGAUUUGUUUUCCAGAUUUCCAAAGAACAAUGUUAUCACUACUAAGUUUUAUUGUUGAUAAAAUCUUAACUGACUAUAGGGAAAAGAAAAAAUCUCUCAGCUUGAGUAUAUUUGUAAAAUGACAUUAUUUUUUCAGCGUUCUCUUAUUUUAUUUGAUUUAUAACUAAGUUUAAUUUUAUAUGAUGGGAUGGAUGUACUUUGAUUUAUUUAGUUUUUUUCUAUCAAGUCAUCUGGUUAAAUAUUUAUAAUUUUUUUCUUCAUCUAGGGUAAAUUUGAAUCUAUUUUAGGUUAUGGAUUCAGUAAAUUUAUUUAUAUUCAUUUCUGGUUUUCUUUUUUUUAUGUAGGCUUCGGAUAUGUUCCACGAGAAUGUGUACACAAAUUUGAUUGCGUAAAGGAAGACCUUAAAGCCAGCCAUACAAAUAAAAAAUGUAAGUAUACAAAAGUAUUUAAAAGGUCUUAUUUAAUCUAAUUUAAAGUUUUAAAUUACAUAUAAUUUUGUUCCCAUCAAUGGUUUUACUUCGAUCAUCUCUAUAUACAUAUUUUGUUCUGUAUGAGCACGUUUAUCUUUUCAAUUUUCUUGUUUGAUUAGAGGAAUAACAUGAAAUACUUCUUUGAGGAAUUAUUUAUUCAAGACCUAUACCUCUUCAUUCUCUCGUAUCCGAAUCCCUCACCUUUUAAUGAGUUUGGAAAUGUCGAAGUAGUCCUUAUAAUUUUCUAUAGAAGAAAAUUGAAAAUAGAAAUUCGGCCAAUGAUAAUUAAGCGUUGAUGAACCAAUGAAAAGCAGUUUACCAAAUUUUGGCCAAUGAGAUAUAAGCACAACUAGCCAAUUAGAAACGAGCGUCUAGAAAAUUGACCAAUCAGGAGGGUGUACACGAAUAUUAGGCGCCAAAAAUUUAUCCAAUCAGGAAGAGAUCAGGAACAGGGCUUUGUGGACCAUCUUUAAACCAUCUUUGACCAGCUUCCUCUCCC